RNAcentral lists this ribosomal RNA (379 nucleotides) under Rhipicephalus microplus (southern cattle tick). Its description in RNAcentral is "partial large subunit ribosomal RNA". The stretch from base 249 to 379 matches the Rfam family "Archaeal large subunit ribosomal RNA", at positions 2542 to 2673 of the family's 2987-position model. The record is from RNAcentral. Lineage: Eukaryota; Metazoa; Arthropoda; Arachnida; Ixodida; Ixodidae.
UUUAAUUGAAUGCUAAAAGAAUGGAAUAUCAAAGAAUAACUUUCUUAAAAUUAAAAAUUGAAAUUUUUUUAAUUUGUGUAAAAACAAUUAUAUAAAUUAAAGACAAGAAGACCCUAAGAAUUUUUAAAAUUUAAAUUAACACAUUUUUGUUUUAAUUAAAUUUUAACUGGGGCGGUUAAAAAAUAUUAAAAACUUUUUAAUUUUGAAAAUGACCCAUUAUUAAUGAAAAUAUGAUAAAAUACUCUAGGGAUAACAGCGUUAUAUUUUUUGAUAGAUCAUAUUGACAAAAAAGUUUGCGACCUCGAUGUUGGAUUAGGAUACUUUUUUAAUGAAGAUAUUAAAAUAAGAAGUUUGUUCAACUUUUAAAUUCCUACUUGAU